CACUGCUAAGCUGUGUGACCUUGGGUGAGUCACUUGGCCUCUCUGAGCCCCAGGCGCCUCCCCGGGAAAAUGAGGGUAAUAGUAACCGCUCCCGGGGGUUUGUGCGAAGGUGUUCAGCUCACAGAGGGCCGGCACCGGCACUUUUGAGGCGGCUGACUUGCCCUGGGGGUGUGAUGGGAGGUGCAAGCUUUCUCCAAAAGCCUCCUCCAAAUGGAGCCUUUAAAUCCGCCUUCUUUCCGCGGCUACUCCACCAGCUCGCCAAACCGAGAAAAUGCAAACACGGGGGCGGGGGCAAGGGAGCUGACCUGGCUGGAAGUAAACAGAAACGCCACCCCUCCCCUGGCACUUGCAUUGGCACCGGAGGAUUGCAGGAUAUGAUCCAAGGUGCUGAAAACUUCCUAACAAAACUCUUCAGCCGAAUCUGGCACACCUAUGGUUCCAGCUACUGGGUAGACUGAGGCAGGAGGAUCGCUUGAGGCCAAGAGUUCAAGGCCAACCUGGGCAACAUGAAGUCGGCGUGGCUCAGCUCAGUCCAGUUCACAACAAAUAUGAAAUCCCUGCCCUACAGGACCAGGCCUCAGGAAGGGCUUGGGGGCCUCAGAGGCAAAUGAGACCAGGUCCAUCAACCAUACAGAACUGACAACCUGGACUCCCCACUCUGAAGGCACCUACUGUCUCACCCUUCCCUGACUCUGCCCGUGCACAAGGUGACCCCGGCUGCAAGCGUGCCAGGAGCUUUUCUCCACCUCUGCCUCAACAUCUGCCGCCUCUCCUCCUCUGGAGAGGGAGGCAGCUGAAGGACACCAGCCCCACGCCUUGCUGGAGCAGCUGAGAUCGCUGGGAGGAGGUUGGGAGAGGACUCAGGGGCUCAGGCUAGAUCAGGAGGGUGUGCCCUGCCUCCUUGUGAGGGGGCCCAGCACCACGGGGAGCCCACAGUGUAGGGUGCUGUUCAGCCAAAUUGGUUACCACUGGGUGUGAGGUCUGUGGUUGUGCAGGGUUGAAGGGCUGGGUGUCAUUUGCCUCUGAGGCCCCCGAGCCCUUCCUGAGGCCUGGUCCUAUAGGUCAAGGAUGGGCUAUUUGUUGUGAACUGGAUUGCGCUGAGAGCCACACUCAUGUUUAGGGGGAAAUGCCAUUGUACUGGUUUCCUGUGACUGCCCUACAAAUAACCACAAAGAGGCAAGGGGAGAAGUGGGGCUGUCCCUUCCAUAGGGCUGCAGUCAAGCACAAAUGACUCUAAUGGUAUUAAUUUUGAGAGAGAGAGAGAGAUUUGGAGUUCACCACAAAUUCUCCAAACAAACAAUUUUACAAGGAGGACAUGACCCGCCUGGCAUUACUGCUUAGGUCUGAAUGAGUGAUACUGACUGCAGCAGGUGACCAGGCCAAGCCCAGA
Long non-coding RNA from Homo sapiens (human), 1390 nucleotides. RefSeq lists it as uncharacterized. NCBI's taxonomy places the organism in Eukaryota, Metazoa, Chordata, Mammalia, Primates, Hominidae. The record is from RefSeq and is a predicted model, not a curated record. The transcript has 4 exons.